RNAcentral lists this long non-coding RNA (833 nucleotides) under Equus caballus (horse). RNAcentral's name for it is "lncRNA (ENSECAG00000031288.3)". The record is from RNAcentral. Lineage: Eukaryota; Metazoa; Chordata; Mammalia; Perissodactyla; Equidae.
CAUGUUGACUGCUUAACAGGUCUUAUAUCUUUAUCUGAAUUUCUUUAUGGUGUCUUAAACCAAGCUGUUUGUGAGUUCAGAUCUGUGUGUGUUGUCAGCAUGAAUGAUAACUGAGGUUUCAAAGUAAGAACAUGAUUAUGACAUCAUGGAACUUGUUCUUGACCUCAGGUGGUGUGAAAUAAUGGAAGUUCAUCCAGUUCAUCCAGUAAAUAUUUACUGAGCCCUUACUCUGUGUCAGACACAGUUCUAUGUGCCAGUGAUGUAGAGUGAAUACAGUAGGAAAACAUUCCUGUUCUCAUGCAGCUGACAUUGUAGUAGAGGGAGACAGGACAAAAGUAAAUACAUACAAUGUACGGAAAGAAGGCUAUGAAAAAAGUUAAGGGAGAUGCAGGUGUGAAAGGAAACACGAAAGAUCUUUCUUCCUCAUCCCAAGAAGCAGCACCUACCACCAUUCUCAACAAGAAAUAUCUAUGUUAUGGUCACCGACAAGAGUUUACCACCUCGCAACGUCGUGUUGUUACUGAAUUGUUUAUUGUCAGUCUCCCCAGUGUGCACGUUGGCUCCAAGACUGAGACUUCCUCUCUCUUUUCGUCUCUCUAUCUUGGGAAUCUAGAAGGGUGCCUAGCACAUUUGUUGAAUGAAUGAAUAAAGGAAUGAGUUUUUCAAAUGUCGAUUAUGUAAUAUCUCAUUUUUCUCCUCUUUUGAAUAAGGGAAAUAACAUCUCUCUUACAAGAAUAUUGUGAAGAUUAGGUGAUAAAAGAUAGGAAUAUUCCCAACCUCAUUAUUAGAAAAAUAUUGGUUCCAUUUUCUCUCCUCUAAAGAGUGGUUCUCCA